CUACGGGUGGCUGCAGUGGGGAAUAUUGCACAAUGGGCGCAAGCCUGAUGCAGCAACGCCGUGUGAGUGAUGAAGGUCUUCGGAUUGUAAAACUCUGUCCUAUGGGAAGAAAAAAAUGACGGUACCAUAGGAGGAAGCCCCGGCUAACUACGUGCUAGCAGCCGCGGUAAUACGUAGGGGGCAAGCGUUAUCCGGAAUCACUGGGCGUAAAGGGUGCGUAGGCGGCCUAUCAAGUCAGAGGUGAAAGGCAUUGGCUCAACCAAUGUAAGCCUUUGAAACUGUUAGGCUUGAGUGCAGGAGAGGUAAGUGGAAUUCCUAGUGUAGAGGUGAAAUUCGUAGAUAUUAGGAGGAACACCAGUGGCGAAGGCGACUUACUGGACUGUAACUGACGCUGAGGCACGAAAGCGUGGGGAGCGAACAGGAUUAGAUACCCUGGUAGUC
RNAcentral lists this ribosomal RNA (441 nucleotides) under uncultured bacterium. RNAcentral describes it as "partial 16S ribosomal RNA". It matches the Rfam family "Bacterial small subunit ribosomal RNA", at positions 339 to 795 of the family's 1533-position model. The record is from RNAcentral.